RNAcentral lists this ribosomal RNA (383 nucleotides) under uncultured bacterium. RNAcentral describes it as "bacterial SSU rRNA". It matches the Rfam family "Bacterial small subunit ribosomal RNA", at positions 29 to 396 of the family's 1533-position model. The record is from RNAcentral.
AACGAACGCUGGCGGCGUGCCUAACACAUGCAAGUCGUGCGAGAAAGUUCCUUCGGGAGCGAGUAGAGCGGCGCACGGGUGAGUAACACGUAGGUAACCUGCCCCCCAGUCUGGAACAACUAGAGGAAACUCUAGCUAAUGCCGGAUGAGACCACGAUCCCUUCGGGGGUUGCGGCCAAAGAUGGCCUCUACUUGUAAGCUAUCGCUGAGGGAUGGGCCUGCGGGCCAUUAGCUUGUUGGUGAGGUAACGGCUCACCAAGGCUGUGAUGGCUAGCUGGUCUGAGAGGAUGACCAGCCACACUGGGACUGAGACACGGCCCAGACUCCUACGGAGGCAGCAGUGGGGAAUAUUGCGCAAUGGGCGAAAGCCUGACGCAGCGACG